RNAcentral lists this ribosomal RNA (503 nucleotides) under uncultured bacterium. RNAcentral describes it as "partial 16S ribosomal RNA". It matches the Rfam family "Bacterial small subunit ribosomal RNA", at positions 30 to 523 of the family's 1533-position model. The record is from RNAcentral.
AUUGAACGCUGGCGGCAGGCUUAACACAUGCAUGUCGCGCGGGGUGAUGGUGCUUGCACUAUCACUUAGCGGCGGACGGGUGAGUAAUGCUUAGGAAUCUGCCUAUUAGUGGGGGACAACAUCCCGCAAGGGAUGCUAAUACCGCAUACGUCCUAAGGGAGAAAGCAGGGGAUCACUUGUGACCUUGCGCUAAUAGAUGAGCCUAAGUCGGAUUAGCUAGUUGGUGGGGUAAAGGCCUACCAAGGCGACGAUCUGUAGCGGGUCUGAGAGGAUGAUCCGCCACACUGGGACUGAGACACGGCCCAGACUCCUACGGGAGGCAGCAGUGGGGAAUAUUGGACAAUGGGGGGAACCCUGAUCCAGCCAUGCCGCGUGUGUGAAGAAGGCCUUAUGGUUGUAAAGCACUUUAAGCGAGGAGGAGGCUCUUUUGGUUAAUACCCAAGAUGAGUUGACGUUACUCGCAGAAUAAGCACCGGCUAACUCUGUGCCAGCCGCCGCUGUAA